Molecule: long non-coding RNA, 571 nt
Filed under: Mus spicilegus (steppe mouse)
Lineage: Eukaryota; Metazoa; Chordata; Mammalia; Rodentia; Muridae
Description: lncRNA (ENSMSIG00000012166.1)
Rfam family: SOX2 overlapping transcript exon 3 (bases 139-410)
Source: RNAcentral
UCUAAUAUAAAAUUAAUUAAUUUUUUCUUCCUAGAAAUGAACUGGAGUUUUUUGAGAGUCCUUUGAGGCCUGUUUGGAUAUUUCCCUCCCUUCCUCCCAAGCCACCACCUCCUUCGGUGGAAUAGAAGGGGAUUGCAGAGGCAAAGCUAGACUAGGUCUUGGAGGCUGGUGUAAGGCGGUGCGCGGAAGGCAGGACGCUGAUGGGAGAGACUGGUCGAAGAAAAGCCGAAAUGGAUUCUCCGUGCUUUGGAUGGAGAAAGAGGGGGGAAGUGCGAGCUCCUUCAACUCGUUCUGUCCGGUGAGGAGUGAUCCAGCUUGGGCUGACGAGAGGCUCCGGAGCCUUCACGUUCAGUGCUUUUUACCUGCCAAUCAAACUGCUACAAGACAACACCCUGAUCUGGCAUGGUCGCCGCGGGUCCAAGCCUGUAGUCCCAAAUCGGAAAAUCUCUGCAGCUGGUACACGCAAAAGAGAAGCCAGGCAACAGACAUAUUACAGAAGAAAGCUCUCGACUCCGAGAUCGAACCUAGAAAUUGUACUUUCCUCAAGAUCCGCUUAAGAGAAUCUGGCUGA